GGGUCAGUAGGUUGGUCGUGCCACCGGUACGUACUGGUCUCACUGAUUCCUCCUUCCUGAAGAACCGUAAUGCCAUUAAUUUGGUGUUGCGGGGAAACAGGACUGUUACUUUGAAAAAAUUAGAGUGUUUAAAGCGAGCUAACGCUUGAAUACAUUAGCAUGGAAUAAUGAAAUAGGACGAUCGAUCCUAUUUUGUUGGUUUCUAGGAUUGACGUAAUGAUUAAUAGGGUGUUGGG
RNAcentral lists this ribosomal RNA (236 nucleotides) under Glomeromycotina sp. RNAcentral's name for it is "partial small subunit ribosomal RNA". The stretch from base 40 to 236 matches the Rfam family "Eukaryotic small subunit ribosomal RNA", at positions 686 to 884 of the family's 1831-position model. Lineage: Eukaryota; Fungi; Glomeromycota. The record is from RNAcentral.